RNAcentral lists this ribosomal RNA (510 nucleotides) under uncultured bacterium. Its description in RNAcentral is "partial 16S ribosomal RNA". It matches the Rfam family "Bacterial small subunit ribosomal RNA", at positions 28 to 507 of the family's 1533-position model. The record is from RNAcentral.
GACGAACGCUGGCGGCGUGCUUAACACAUGCAAGUCGAACGAAGAGCGAUGGAAGCUUGCUUCUAUCACUCUUAGUGGCGAACGGGUGAGUAACGCGUAAUCAACCUGCCCUUCAGAGGGGGACAACAGUUGGAAACGACUGCUAAUACCGCAUACGAUCUAACCUCGGCAUCGAGGAUAGAUGAAAGGUGGCCUCUACAUGUAAGCUAACACUGAAGGAGGGGAUUGCGUCUGAUUAGCUAGUUGGAGGGGUAACGGCCCACCAAGGCGAUGAUCAGUAGCCGGUCUGAGAGGAUGAACGGCCACAUUGGGACUGAGACACGGCCCAGACUCCUACGGGAGGCAGCAGUGGGGAAUCUUCCGCAAUGGACGAAAGUCUGACGGAGCAACGCCGCGUGAGUGAUGACGGCCUUCGGGUUGUAAAGCUCUGUUAAUCGGGACGAAAGGCCUUCUUGCGAAUAGUUAGAAGGAUUGACGGUACCGGAAUAGAAAGCCACGGCUAACUACGUG